CUUAUAAAUUGAGAAUGUCGGUAGCGGUUUUAAGACUUAGACAACUCUCCAAGAAGGCGAUCUUCGACUAGAAAUCAGGAAUUGGAAUCGUCUACAAGCCAGCAAAUAUGAAACUUAUCUUGUUGCUGUGUCUGACUGUCGCGGCAGUCUACGGCCAGACAUGUCCCAGCAGCAGUCCUGACGCCGAGUUUGGAAGCGACAUGUCGUUUUCUCCAAGCGAGAAAAAAAGUGCUGAAGAAUUCGAAGCCGAAAAGCGCUUGAGGGCAAAAUUG
This is a long non-coding RNA of Gigantopelta aegis, 272 nucleotides long. RefSeq lists it as uncharacterized. Lineage: Eukaryota; Metazoa; Mollusca; Gastropoda; Neomphalida; Peltospiridae. The record is from RefSeq and is a predicted model, not a curated record. The transcript has 3 exons.